Scleropages formosus (Asian bonytongue) is the source of this 224-nucleotide long non-coding RNA. RefSeq lists it as uncharacterized. Lineage: Eukaryota; Metazoa; Chordata; Actinopteri; Osteoglossiformes; Osteoglossidae. The transcript is spliced from 3 exons. The record is from RefSeq and is a predicted model, not a curated record.
UGGGGCCAGCUGAUGAAGGUGGCGAAGGACUGUACUGCGCUUCACCCUGUCACCCUGGCAAACCACCUGCCUCACUGGUGGCAGCUGCUCUCAUUAGCGUAUGUGGGAGCGAAGCCUUUACAGUGGACACAUGACCUUCAAUCCCAGCAGUGGCCGCAGGGAGUCCUUCUCGCAGCCUUCGGCACCACACAACACAGAAACUGGCCCAGGACUGUAGGAGCGGC